This 212-nucleotide small RNA is filed under the name Staphylococcus aureus. Its description in RNAcentral is "Antisense". Lineage: Bacteria; Bacillati; Bacillota; Bacilli; Caryophanales; Staphylococcaceae. The record is from RNAcentral.
ACGUAGAAGAGGAUGUUUUAUUUUUAGGGAAACAAGAUUGCGUAAGUGAAUUUUACCAAUUAUCUGACUUAGUAUUAUUAUUAAGUGAAAAAGAAAGCUUUGGACUAACUUUACUUGAGGCUAUGAAAACAGGCGUCGUUCCAAUUGGUUCAAAUGCCGGUGGAAUUAAAGAGGUUAUUAAACAUGGUGAAACUGGAUUUGUCGUAGAUGUG